UAGAGCGGCGACGCAACUUCCG
RNAcentral lists this unclassified non-coding RNA (22 nucleotides) under Chlamydomonas reinhardtii. Its description in RNAcentral is "small RNA Cre_2270". The record is from RNAcentral. Lineage: Eukaryota; Viridiplantae; Chlorophyta; Chlorophyceae; Chlamydomonadales; Chlamydomonadaceae.